GAAUUGCAAUUUCAAAAACUUGAAAAACAGUAUAAAAAGUGGAAUAAAGAGCGGCAAUUAAUAAAAUCAAUUUCCUAUCAAAAAAUUAGGAAAAUGAGACAACAAGAGUACGAAAAUUAUCUCAAAUACUUCGAUCACAAGGAUAGCAAUUCAAAUUGUCAACGAGUGUUUUUACAUUCGGGUAAUAUUGAUGAAUAUAAUCCUUACAAAAUUCAUAACAAAAAUGACA
Octopus sinensis (East Asian common octopus) is the source of this 229-nucleotide long non-coding RNA. RefSeq lists it as uncharacterized. The record is from RefSeq and is a predicted model, not a curated record. Lineage: Eukaryota; Metazoa; Mollusca; Cephalopoda; Octopoda; Octopodidae. The transcript has 3 exons.